AAAGAAAAAGAUCGAAAUUCAUUUCAAGCCGAUCUUGAGUAUUACUCGGCUUGCUUGAAUUAGGCUCGAAAAGCUCGAAUAUAUAUGUAUUAAAAAAUAUAUAAAUAUAAUGUAUUUUAAUUAUAUAUAAACUGAGUGAGUAAUCUGAGUUUAGUUAAAAUUGGACCAAUAUUGUUGGUCCAUAAAAACAAACUCAAUAGACAAACAAAAUAGCAAAAUUUUACUAAAUUUAUACUUUCUCCUUUUCUUUUUUUCUUUCACAUAGCUUUAAAUUUCUAAUCUCUUUCUCUCUAUCUUUUUCUCUGUCUCUCACCCUAAGUGGCCAAGCCUGAAGUCUUUCAAGUUAUCGAAUAAUAGCACGCGCCCGCUGUUGCCUAUCUUGUCAUUAAUUGUGUGCUUGAAAAAAUAUACAGAAUAUUUUUAAAGUAAAAAAUUAUUGUUUGUAUAAAAUUUUGAUUUUAGUUAUAUAUGAUUGGAUAGUUUAAUCCAAUAUUUACCUAUAUAAUUUAUUUAUUUUUUGGCCGCAUAAAUAAAAAGGCAUAAUAUGGAGAUUGAAGGCGGAGGAGAAGACAUGUGAGGCUAAAAAGAUUAGAUAUUCAACUCAUAAGUUAUUUUUCUUCAUAUUAUAAUACCAUAUUUCAUAUAAUUAUUUUGUAUUUUGAACUAUUAGACAUAUUUUUGUAUCAAAUUGUAAAUAAUAUUCUAUACAAAUUAAAUUAUUAAUUGUAUGAAGAUGAGAAUUUCAAGCGGCUCGUUUAGGGCUCGAGCUCGCUCGACUCGAAAUUAGGCUCGCUCGAGCUCCGCUCGAAUUAAUUUCAAACCAAGCUUGAGCUUAAAUUUAGACUCGAAAUUAAUUUCAAGCCUAAUUUGAGCUGAGAUAGGCUCG
Molecule: long non-coding RNA, 886 nt
Filed under: Ananas comosus (pineapple)
Lineage: Eukaryota; Viridiplantae; Streptophyta; Magnoliopsida; Poales; Bromeliaceae
Description: long non-coding RNA (ACOM_LNC025816)
Source: RNAcentral